RNAcentral lists this transfer RNA (81 nucleotides) under Caudoviricetes sp. RNAcentral's name for it is "tRNA-Leu". It matches the Rfam family "tRNA". From Rfam's summary of the family: Transfer RNA (tRNA) molecules are approximately 80 nucleotides in length. Their secondary structure includes four short double-helical elements and three loops (D, anti-codon, and T loops). Further hydrogen bonds mediate the characteristic L-shaped molecular structure. tRNAs have two regions of fundamental functional importance: the anti-codon, which is responsible for specific mRNA codon recognition, and the 3' end, to which the tRNAs corresponding amino acid is attached (by aminoacyl-tRNA synthetases). tRNAs cope with the degeneracy of the genetic code in two manners: having more than one tRNA (with a specific anti-codon) for a particular amino acid; and 'wobble' base-pairing, i.e. permitting non-standard base-pairing at the 3rd anti-codon position. The record is from RNAcentral. Lineage: Duplodnaviria; Heunggongvirae; Uroviricota; Caudoviricetes.
GCGGGAAUGAUGGAAUUGGUAGUCAUGGAAUACUUAAAAUAUUCUGCUUAAUGCGUAUGGGUUCGAGUCCCAUUUCCCGUA